Molecule: ribosomal RNA, 410 nt
Filed under: uncultured Flavobacteriia bacterium
Lineage: Bacteria; Pseudomonadati; Bacteroidota; Flavobacteriia
Description: bacterial SSU rRNA
Rfam family: Bacterial small subunit ribosomal RNA
Source: RNAcentral
AAUGGAGGCAACUCUGAUCCAGCCAUGCCGCGUGCAGGAAGACGGCCUAUGGGUUGUAAACUGCUUUUGUACAGGAAGAACGUUAGUACGUGUACUAGCCUGACGGUACUGUAAGAAUAAGGAUCGGCUAACUCCGUGCCAGCAGCCGCGGUAAUACGGAGGAUCCAAGCGUUAUCCGGAAUCAUUGGGUUUAAAGGGUCCGCAGGCGGUCUAUUAAGUCAGAGGUGAAAUCCUAUCGCUCAACGAUAGAACUGCCUUUGAUACUGGUAGACUUGAGUUAUUGUGAAGUAGUUAGAAUGUGUAGUGUAGCGGUGAAAUGCAUAGAUAUUACACAGAAUACCGAUUGCGAAGGCAGAUUACUAACAAUAUACUGACGCUCAGGGACGAAAGCGUGGGUAGCGAACAGGAUU